GAGCCUUCAUAUGCUUAUGCACCUACAUAGCAAUUUACAAACAAAAUCACCAAAUGUGAACAACAACGCAGACGAGGAACUCAAGAGUGAUCUUGAUGUCAAAUGGGACUUAUUUGGCAAAUGUCCGAUGAUGAGAAGCUAAGUAGGGAAAUUAAGUAGGCCUUAAUAACCUUGUUUUGAUUUUCUUCAAACAGGAAAUUGCAAAAUUUUAUUGUUUAUGGAAGCAGGAAAUUUUUUAAUUUCCUGCCAUGCUGGAAAGGCUCUCUGCAUGUCUUCAGGGUUUUUUUUUUUUUUAAUUUUUGUUUUAGAGUCUUCAUUUGAGUCCUAACCAGCUUAGGAUAGCAUUAAUCCUUUUAGUUUUGUUUGGAGUUCAAAUCCUGAAGAAGAUUAGGAUUAGAUUGGAGCCAACAACUACCCAAAUUUAUAAUGCUUAUUAUUCAGUUUUAAAUCGAUAAAAAUUUCCUGCAAAUGUUACUUUUAGAUGGUGUGAUGCUUAUGGAACCUUAGGUGUGAUGCCUUGGGAACCUUCACAGAUCUCAUAUGAUAACAAUGGCUUCAACACAUUAUGAGAAUUUGCACAAAGACAAGUUCACGCCCAAAGAAAAACUAUAACCUUCAAGACAAGGGUGCAAUUU
This 635-nucleotide unclassified non-coding RNA is filed under the name Hevea brasiliensis (rubber tree). The record is from RNAcentral. Lineage: Eukaryota; Viridiplantae; Streptophyta; Magnoliopsida; Malpighiales; Euphorbiaceae.